Molecule: unclassified non-coding RNA, 249 nt
Filed under: uncultured Dothideales
Lineage: Eukaryota; Fungi; Ascomycota; Dothideomycetes; Dothideales
Description: sequence contains 5.8S rRNA gene, ITS2, 28S rRNA gene
Rfam family: 5.8S ribosomal RNA (bases 1-52)
Source: RNAcentral
AACGCACAUUGCGCCCCUUGGUAUUCCGAGGGGCAUGCCUGUUCGAGCGUCAUUACACCACUCAAGCUAAGCUUGGUAUUGGGUGCCGUCCUUAGUUGGGCGCGCCUUAAAGACCUCGGCGAGGCCUCACCGGCUUUAGGCGUAGUAGAAUUUAUUCGAACGUCUGUCAAAGGAGAGGACUUCUGCCGACUGAAACCUUUAUUUUUCUAGGUUGACCUCGGAUCAGGUAGGGAUACCCGCUGAACUUAA